RNAcentral lists this ribosomal RNA (360 nucleotides) under uncultured marine eukaryote. Its description in RNAcentral is "bacterial SSU rRNA". It matches the Rfam family "Eukaryotic small subunit ribosomal RNA", at positions 619 to 996 of the family's 1831-position model. The record is from RNAcentral.
UUAAAAAGCUCGUAGUCGGAUUUCAGUUUAAUUUGUUUGGCUUAUAUGUCAACACAAGUUUUACUUCAUUGAUACGAAUCUACAUCUGAUUUAUUUCCGGUGUUGCCUAGUAUCUCUUUUACUUUGAGAAAAUUAGAGUGUUCAAAGCAGGUUUUCGCCUGAAUAUUACUCUUGGAAUAAUGAUAUAGGACUUUGGUUCUAAUUUGUUGGUGUAUUAGGACCGGAGUAAUGAUUGGUAGGGACGGUUGGGGUCAUCCAUACUGCAAAGCGAGAGGUGAAAUUCUUGGACCUUUGUAUGAUGAACAACUGCGAAAGCAUUUGACUAGGACGUUCCCGUUGAUCAAGAACGAAAGUUGGGGG